This 469-nucleotide ribosomal RNA is filed under the name uncultured bacterium. RNAcentral's name for it is "bacterial SSU rRNA". It matches the Rfam family "Bacterial small subunit ribosomal RNA", at positions 355 to 825 of the family's 1533-position model. The record is from RNAcentral.
UCGAGGAUCUUCCGCAAUGGGCGAAAGCCUGACGGAGCGACACCGCGUGCAGGAUGAAGGCCUUCGGGUUGUAAACUGCUGUCACGCUAUAGGAAUGUCUGGGCGUUAAUAGCGGCCAGGUUGACUAAAGCGAGAGGAAGCACCGGCUAACUCCGUGCCAGCAGCCGCGGUAAUACGGAGGGUGCAAGCGUUGUUCGGAAUUACUGGGCGUAAAGCGCGUGUAGGUGGUCGAGUAAGUCGAAUGUGAAAGCCCCGGGCUCAACCCGGGAAGUGCAUCCGAAACUGCUCGACUAGAGUCCCGGAGAGGAAGGCAGAAUUCCCAAUGUAGGGGUGAAAUCCGUAGAUAUUGGGAGGAAUACCGGUGGCGAAGGCGGCCUUCUGGACGGUGACUGACACUCAGACGCGAAAGCGUGGGGAGCAAACAGGAUUAGAUACCCUCGUAGUCCCUGAGCGGGCUGGCAAGGCGCAU